UACGUAGGGGGCUAGCGUUGUCCGGAUUUAUUGGGCGUAAAGAGUUCGUAGGCGGUUCGUUAAGUCUGAUGUUAAAGACUGGGGCUCAACCCCGGGAGUGCAUUGGAUACUGGCGGACUGGAGUGUGGUAGAGGCUAGUGGAAUUCCCAGUGUAGCGGUGAAAUGCGUAGAUAUUGGGAAGAACACCAGUGGCGUAGGCGACUAGCUGGGCCAUAACUGACGCUGAGGAACGAAAGCCAGGGGAGCGAAUGGG
Molecule: ribosomal RNA, 253 nt
Filed under: uncultured bacterium
Lineage: Bacteria
Description: partial 16S ribosomal RNA
Rfam family: Bacterial small subunit ribosomal RNA
Source: RNAcentral